Molecule: long non-coding RNA, 332 nt
Filed under: Monodelphis domestica (gray short-tailed opossum)
Lineage: Eukaryota; Metazoa; Chordata; Mammalia; Didelphimorphia; Didelphidae
Description: lncRNA (ENSMODG00000032551.2)
Source: RNAcentral
GCUUAAUAAACGUUUGUUGGAUUGAAUUACCCAAAGCAGAGUUACUUUUCGGAAAUGGGAAUAGGGGCUCGUGGCCCUUGGCGGACUCCGUCCCAGGCUCCGGGAUCGGAGCUCCGACGGUAACGGCGGCGGCGGCGGCUGAGACUCGGCGUUCUUGCGCCCCUCGCCUAGCGGCCGCAGCGGCCCAGUCACCUGCCCGGCCCGGGGCAAGGACUCGCGGAAGCGGAAGAGGGGUGCGGGCGCGGCCAGGGCGGUGGCGGCGGCUGCAGAAGGAGGAGGGAGACUGCGGGAGAGCCUUUGGCUGCCGCAAGAACUACGGAAGAGGCGGCUGA